UGGUAGGAAAACACUAUGGAAUUAAAUAGUUACAGUUUUCCAGCUUUAUUUAAUACAUCUUCUUUAUUGUUUAGCAGAAAAAAAGCUAAAUAAGUUUGGAACAAAUAAAGAAUGAGGCUAAAAUGGCAGAAUUGUCAGUUUUGGGCUAUUUUUACAUGGAGGUAAUCUUCUAUUGAUAAUUUCUGGAUUUUAAUUAUGCAAUGUUUUCAGCUGUUGAAUUCACCUCAGAUCAGUGUUGCUGUAAUUCCUGAUGGAAAGAAGAAUUGAAUGAGCGAGCAACGCCACAACUACAGGACCUCUUCUCAUAAUUUA
Molecule: non-coding RNA, 312 nt
Organism: Danio rerio (zebrafish)
Lineage: Eukaryota; Metazoa; Chordata; Actinopteri; Cypriniformes; Danionidae
Source: RefSeq, a predicted model, not a curated record